This 343-nucleotide ribosomal RNA is filed under the name Streptococcus pneumoniae. Its description in RNAcentral is "partial 23S ribosomal RNA". It matches the Rfam family "Bacterial large subunit ribosomal RNA", at positions 1127 to 1471 of the family's 2925-position model. The record is from RNAcentral. Lineage: Bacteria; Bacillati; Bacillota; Bacilli; Lactobacillales; Streptococcaceae.
AGAGUGCGUAAUAGCUCACUAGUCGAGUGACUCCGCGCCGAAAAUGUACCGGGGCUAAACAGUACACCGAAGCUGUGGAUUCAAUCUUAUGAUUGAGUGGUAGGAGAGCGUUCUAAGGGCGGUGAAGGCAUACCGAAAGGAGUGUUGGAGCGCUUAGAAGUGAGAAUGCCGGUAUGAGUAGCGAAAGACGGGUGAGAAUCCCGUCCACCGAAUAACUAAGGUUUCCUGGGGAAGGCUCGUCCUCCCAGGGUUAGUCGGGACCUAAGGCGAGGCCGAUAGGCGUAGUCGAUGGACAACAGGUUGAUAUUCCUGUACUUCUAUAAAUCGUUUGAGCAAUGGAGGG